This 903-nucleotide ribosomal RNA is filed under the name Tuber iranicum. RNAcentral's name for it is "partial large subunit ribosomal RNA". It matches the Rfam family "Eukaryotic large subunit ribosomal RNA", at positions 40 to 959 of the family's 3401-position model. The record is from RNAcentral. Lineage: Eukaryota; Fungi; Ascomycota; Pezizomycetes; Pezizales; Tuberaceae.
AUAUCAAUAAGCGGAGGAAAAGAAACCAACAGGGAUUGCCCUAGUAACGGCGAGUGAAGCGGCAAGAGCUCAAAUUUGAAAUCUGGCGUCUCCAGCGUCCGAGUUGUAAUUUGGAGAGGCAUCUUUGGGAGGGGCCCAGUCUAAGCUCCUUGGAACAGCACGUCAUAGAGGGUGAGAAUCCCGUUCUUGGCUGGAUGUUCCCUCCUGUAAAAAGCGCCUUCGAUGAGUCGAGUUGUUUGGGAAUGCAGCUCAAAAUGGGUGGUAAAUUUCAUCUAAAGCUAAAUAUUGGCGAGAGACCGAUAGCGCACAAGUAGAGUGAUCGAAAGAUGAAAAGCACUUUGAAAAUAGAGUCAAACAGUACGUGAAAUUGUUGAAAGGGAAGCGCUUGAGACCAGACUCAGCCUCUGACAAACAACUGUCCUUCUGGGCGGUGCACUUGUCCUGGGCUGGGCCAGCAUCAGUUGGGAUGGCGGGAUAAAGGCCUGGGGAAUGUGACUCCUCUGAGGAGUGUUAUAGCCCUGAGUGCAAUGCCGUCCGAUCCGACUGUGGACCGCGCUUCGGCUAGGAUGCUGGCGUAAUGGUCUUCAGCGGCCCGUCUUGAAACACGGACCAAGGAGUCUAACAUCUAUGCAAGUGUUUGGGCUCUAAAACCCUCAUGCGUAAUGAAAGUGAACGGAGGUGGGAAUCCCGUCAGGGGUGCACCAUCGACCGAUCCUGAUGUCUUCGGAUGGAUUUGAGUAGGAGCAUAGCUGUUGGGACCCGAAAGAUGGUGAACUAUGCCUGAAUAGGGUGAAGCCAGAGGAAACUCUGGUGGAGGCUCGCAGCGGUUCUGACGUGCAAAUCGAUCGUCAAAUUUGGGUAUAGGGGCGAAAGACUAAUCGAACCAUCUAGUAGCUGGUCCUG